AACGGAAAGGCCCUGCUUGCAGGGUACUCGAGUGGCGAACGGGUGAGUAACACGUGGGUGAUCUGCCCUGCACUUCGGGAUAAGCUUGGGAAACUGGGUCUAAUACCGGAUAGGAACCAUCUUUANUGUGGUGGUUGGAAAGUUUUUUCGGUGUAGGAUGAGCUCGCGGCCUAUCAGCUUGUUGGUGGGGUAAUGGCCUACCAAGGCGGCGACGGGUAGCCGGCCUGAGAGGGUGUACGGCCACAUUGGGACUGAGAUACGGCCCAGACUCCUACGGGAGGCAGCAGUGGGGAAUAUUGCACAAUGGGCGCAAGCCUGAUGCAGCGACGCCGCGUGGGGGAUGAAGGCCUUCGGGUUGUAAACUCCUUUCGCUAGGGACGAAGCUUUUUGUGACGGUACCUAGAUAAGAAGCACCGGCUAACUACGUGCCAGCAGCCGCGGUAAUACGUAGGGUGCGAGCGUUGUCCGGAAUUACUGGGCGUAAAGGGCUCGUAGGUGGUUUGUCGCGUCGUCUGUGAAACUCUGGGGCUUAACUCCGGGCGUGCAGGCGAUACGGGCAUAACUUGAGUGCUGUAGGGGUAACUGGAAUUCCUGGUGUAGCGGUGAAAUGCGCAGAUAUCAGGAGGAACACCGAUGGCGAAGGCAGGUUACUGGGCAGUUACUGACGCUGAGGAGCGAAAGCAUGGGUAGCGAACAGGAU
This 700-nucleotide ribosomal RNA is filed under the name uncultured Actinomycetales bacterium. Its description in RNAcentral is "bacterial SSU rRNA". It matches the Rfam family "Bacterial small subunit ribosomal RNA", at positions 65 to 778 of the family's 1533-position model. Lineage: Bacteria; Bacillati; Actinomycetota; Actinomycetes; Actinomycetales. The record is from RNAcentral.